Molecule: ribosomal RNA, 376 nt
Filed under: uncultured organism
Description: partial 16S ribosomal RNA
Rfam family: Bacterial small subunit ribosomal RNA
Source: RNAcentral
GUAGGUGGCAAGCGUUGUCCGGAAUUAUUGGGCGUAAAGCGCGCGCAGGCGGUCCUUUAAGUCUGAUGUGAAAGCCCACGGCUCAACCGUGGAGGGUCAUUGGAAACUGGGGGACUUGAGUACAGAAGAGGAAAGCGGAAUUCCAAGUGUAGCGGUGAAAUGCGUAGAGACUUGGAGGAACACCAGUGGCGAAGGCGGCUUUCUGGUCUGUAACUGACGCUGAGGCGCGAAAGCGUGGGGAGCAAACAGGGAUUAGAUACCCUGGUAGUCCACGCCGUAAACGAUGAGUGCUAAGUGUUAGGGGGGUUUCCCGCCCCCUUAGUGCUGCAGCUAACGCAUUAAGCACUCCGCCUGGGGAGUACGGCCCGCAAGGCUG